UUCUCUUCCUAAGAUGAUGGUAAAAUAAGAAAAUAUGGAUGACGUUUCCUAAAAUUUGUUCCAUUUGUAAUUCAGGAGAAAAGAUGUGAUCAGAAUAGGAAUGCUGAAUUCAAGAUAACCUUUUCUGCUGGACCAGUGAUAAAAUUCCAAUGAUCAUUGACAGAAGGCUCAGCACUUCUUGUGGCACACAUGGUGAGAUGGAUGGAUGCUGUUACUGGAAUGCAUCUUCAAAAUUUCUAAAGAUCUCUGAUUUCAACCAUUUGGUUGGAAAUAGACUCAUAGGGCCACAUUCUUCCGUGUUAACUCUUUUAUAUUUACAUUGGAUAAAGUGAUCUUGAAUGUAAAUCUCACUUAUGUGAAAUUAUUAAUAGGAAAAGCCAAAAUAGUAAAUAUUUUAUUUAUUAAAAUGCACUGCAGGCUUUUAUGGAGAAAUAUUAUAAUUAAUCCUCACAAAACAUUAGAUUUUUACUCAAAUUAAUUUGAAUAAAACUCUGCCAUUUGCUUCUGUCAUCAGAUCCCAUUUUUAAUGAGGUUCUGCCUAUCUCCUUUGUGUGGCCUCCCUUUUCUUUAUAGCACUAAGAGACAGUGUCAGGUUGGCAGCACAAAAACUGCCCAUUUAUCUCCAGAUAUGGAUGAGCUUCCUGAAAGUCAUUCAGAGUAAGUACCUGUUCCCCCAUUCCCAUUCCUCCAUUCUUCUCUAUGCUGGCUGGGAACCACCAGUACCCUCCUGUUUGCCCUUGAUUUUUGGACUGACUUAGAAACCACAUUUUAAAGAACCUAAUCCUUCGAGAAUGUUUGUGGUAUAAUAAUAAAUAUUGGAAGGCAUACUUCAACUCCAAAUGAUUUAUAUGAAUAAAAGCUAUAUCAACUCUGAAUGCAUUUUUUUUUUGCUUCAUUCUAGUUUUUAUGUAAAAUUUGCAACCACAUAUUUUCUGAGUUACAUAAGAACUAUUUUCAUCCCUUAAUUUCCUACCAAAGGGCCCAGAUUAAAUUUGACAUUUUGGAUCAGGUUCCAGAAUUCCUGUUCAUUAUGUCCUCAGAAUCAGAGGCAAAGAUCAGAUUUCACCUGGGCUACUUGUAAAUGGCUGUGGGAAAGUCCGAAAUCUUUGUCAGUUUCCUAGGGUAAGUGGGUGCAACGAAUAUGAGUGUUGUCAUGUUUAGAAUUCCCCAAAUUGUUUUAAGUCAAAGUUUUUACUCAUUUAAAUGGGUUGUUUUUCUACAGCUUUCUAUUUUGAUUCCUGUUGUAAUGUGGAAGUUAUUAAAAACUGAAAUAAUUUCCCCCUUU
Molecule: long non-coding RNA, 1285 nt
Organism: Gracilinanus agilis (Agile Gracile Mouse Opossum)
Lineage: Eukaryota; Metazoa; Chordata; Mammalia; Didelphimorphia; Didelphidae
Exons: 3
Source: RefSeq, a predicted model, not a curated record